Arachis ipaensis is the source of this 806-nucleotide long non-coding RNA. RefSeq lists it as uncharacterized. NCBI's taxonomy places the organism in Eukaryota, Viridiplantae, Streptophyta, Magnoliopsida, Fabales, Fabaceae. The record is from RefSeq and is a predicted model, not a curated record.
AUCACUAAGAAGCUUUCAUGAUUCAAUUCAUUCAUGACAUUAUAAUAUACGACUAUUUUUCUUGGUCAGGCAAAAUUCUCCUAUCUUUGAGGACACGGCGAAUCCUCUAUUCUCUCUUCUGCACUGCCGCCUCGUAAAUCACUACUGUGAUGUUAGUGUUUUUUAUUGGGCCUAGGCCCAGUGGUGUGUAGCAAAGCAGAAUAGAGGGUCCCCAUGUUCUCAUAGUUGGACUGAGUUUUACAAUAAUAUCAACGGGCUUAAGGAGUGGAGCCACUUUAACGGAUUGGACACUUCAAACAUGCGUGACGAAUAAGUGUCGAGGAGUGUCGUGUUCGAAAUGUGUUCGAUAAGCUCCUCACAAAUUGCGAUUCUAAAUGGAAUAUCUACUGAGGGAUAUAUAAGAGCAUGUAUGUUUAUUUGAAGAGAAGGACAUCAAGUUACAUACGCCAUUGAGAAUCACAUGCAUCAUGCAUGGGACUUCACCGAAAACAAGCACUACUGUAUAUAUAUAAAGACAUAAUAGGUGUCUAUAUUUCAGAUAUAAUAUUCAUAUGAAUAUAUUUUUGGAAUAUUUUUAUACGAGUGUUAAUGUCUUUUCUAACACCCUUCGCUUUGUAAAAAUUCUUGUCAACAGCAAAUUAAAUAAAUGACAAGGAUUAGGUGAAAUGCUUCUAUACUUACUCUGAUUUAUAUAUACUACAAAGUUCACCAUUUUUAUAUUCUACAAAUUACAAAAUAGCUGAGGAGACGGUGCACAUGCAUGUAUGCCACUUUCAAGCAAUAACAAUUAGUUAUUGGUUUCUUAA